RNAcentral lists this transfer RNA (72 nucleotides) under Xerotyphlops vermicularis (Eurasian blind snake). Its description in RNAcentral is "tRNA-Asn". It matches the Rfam family "tRNA". From Rfam's summary of the family: Transfer RNA (tRNA) molecules are approximately 80 nucleotides in length. Their secondary structure includes four short double-helical elements and three loops (D, anti-codon, and T loops). Further hydrogen bonds mediate the characteristic L-shaped molecular structure. tRNAs have two regions of fundamental functional importance: the anti-codon, which is responsible for specific mRNA codon recognition, and the 3' end, to which the tRNAs corresponding amino acid is attached (by aminoacyl-tRNA synthetases). tRNAs cope with the degeneracy of the genetic code in two manners: having more than one tRNA (with a specific anti-codon) for a particular amino acid; and 'wobble' base-pairing, i.e. permitting non-standard base-pairing at the 3rd anti-codon position. Lineage: Eukaryota; Metazoa; Chordata; Lepidosauria; Squamata; Typhlopidae. The record is from RNAcentral.
UAGAUAGGAGUCUGUAGGCCAAGACAGCUAGCUGUUAACUAGUUAUUGCGGGAUCGAAGCUCGCCUAUCUAG